Molecule: long non-coding RNA, 691 nt
Organism: Gossypium raimondii (Peruvian cotton)
Lineage: Eukaryota; Viridiplantae; Streptophyta; Magnoliopsida; Malvales; Malvaceae
Exons: 2
Source: RefSeq, a predicted model, not a curated record
CUCCACUGGAAGCAACUGACAACUUCUCUUCAAGUGGGGAAGUCGUACAUUCUUUAACUAAGAAAUUUAUAUGAUAUUAAUUUUUAAUAUAUUAAUGGAAGACGCAAAAAUAGUAACGGAUCAACAAGUUGACCAGUACAAUAUUUCAUUCCUUUAUAGGUUAGCUUUACUUCACACCCUAACCUUAUUUUCUCUCUCCUUUUCACAUGGACACAAAAGAAGCUAUUGAGCCACAGUUUCCAUCUUGCAAAUACUCAGGUUUAUGUUGUUGUCAAUUGAGUACGAUUUUGAUGGGAGAUGGAUAGAAUGGACAGCUUAUAGUAAAGAUAUUCGAUUCCUUGCACUGCAAAUUAUAGUUGGUGGUCCUUUCUGUUCAGUUGUCAAUCAUGCUGUUCACUGCCCCAAUGUUCAUUACAACUUUAAUUGCUGUUCCAGGUGAUCAUCAGAUUCCCUUAUUCCAACAGUAUAUUCAAAUCUCAAGACUUAUAUUAGGCAUCCAUGAACUUUUGAUGUAUUGUACUAUUAAACAAGCAAAUAAUGAAUAAGAUAUAUGAGUUCAUGGUGAGCGUUGGAAAUACACAGGUAUUUCCAAUUUUUAAAACUCUUUCAAUAUAUUUGUACCAUCGUACUUAUACUCAUGUAUUACAAAGUAAACCAAAUUUUGAGUCGAGGCAUAAUUUGUUUUCCUUCA